RNAcentral lists this ribosomal RNA (551 nucleotides) under uncultured bacterium. RNAcentral's name for it is "bacterial SSU rRNA". It matches the Rfam family "Bacterial small subunit ribosomal RNA", at positions 948 to 1498 of the family's 1533-position model. The record is from RNAcentral.
AAUUGGAUGCAACGCGAAGAACCUUACCUGGUCUUGACAUAUCUAGAAUCCUGCAGAGAUGCGGGAGUGCCUUCGGGAAUUAGAAUACAGGUGCUGCAUGGCUGUCGUCAGCUCGUGUCGUGAGAUGUUGGGUUAAGUCCCGCAACGAGCGCAACCCUUGUCCUUAGUUACCAGCGGGUUAAGCCCGCAACUCUAAGGAUACUGCCAGUGACAAACUGGAGGAAGGCGGGGACGACGUCAAGUCAUCAUGGCCCUUACGACCAGGGCUACACACGUGCUACAAUGGUAGGUACAGAGGGCAGCUACACAGCGAUGUGAUGCGAAUCUCAAAAAGCCUAUCGUAGUCCAGAUUGGAGUCUGCAACUCGACUCCAUGAAGUAGGAAUCGCUAGUAAUCGCGGAUCAGAAUGCCGCGGUGAAUACGUUCCCGGGCCUUGUACACACCGCCCGUCACACCAUGGGAGUUGAUUGCACCAGAAGUGGAUAGCUUAACCUUCGGGGAGGCGUUCACCACGGUGUGGUUGAUGACUGGGGUGAAGUCGUAACAAGGUA